GCUUAUCACCAUUCCAGAUUGAAUAUACCCGAUCUCGUCUGAUCUCGGAAGUCAAGCAAUCUCGGGCUUGGUUAGUACUUGGAUGGGUGACCGCUU
Molecule: non-coding RNA, 96 nt
Organism: Ciona savignyi (Pacific transparent sea squirt)
Lineage: Eukaryota; Metazoa; Chordata; Ascidiacea; Phlebobranchia; Cionidae
Source: Rfam